CCAAUUGGCUACUAGUGAGACGAAUAAAUGCACCCACCAGAAACUAUAACAGCUAUACGUGGACCUUAAUACAACUGCAUGGGAAGAAAAAAAUUGACAGCAUGCUGAAUUAUUCCUCUAGUGCACCGAAUUUGAAGGCAAAAUAAACACAGACUACACACAAGAAUAGGUUGGGUGAAUUCAAUGUUCGUUUCGAGUGCAAUUAAAGUAUGACGAAAGAAAUACUGCGAAAACAGCUCCCACAUGGCAGUUAGGUAUUGCGAAAUUAAAACAUCCAAUUAAAAAUCGCUCCUUUAUUUAAGUGUGUUAGUUAUUAGCCUUUGUAUAUAAAUGCAAUCUUCUUCAUUUGGCAUUUGAACACAUAAUAGAGAAAGUUAGUGAAGAAAAAGAAGAAAAAGAUGGCUUCUAAACCAGGGAUUCUUACCGAAUGGCCAUGGACAUGGCUCGGCAACUUCAAGGUGCUUCGUUUAUCUGCAUUAGUUAAAAAAAAAAAAAAAGGUUGUGUUAGUAUUUAUGAACUUUGUUAUACUUAAUUUGAUUUUAAUUUUUUAUUUUUUUUAUUUUUUUUGAUUUAGUACCUGGUAUUGGCGCCAUGGGCAGUACCUGCAACAUACUCAUUUCUGACGAAGGAUGAUAACCGGAAGUACUUAUCAUCUUUUCUCGUGUUACC
This 670-nucleotide long non-coding RNA is filed under the name Erythranthe guttata (spotted monkey flower). Its description in RNAcentral is "long non-coding RNA (EGUT_LNC000453)". Lineage: Eukaryota; Viridiplantae; Streptophyta; Magnoliopsida; Lamiales; Phrymaceae. The record is from RNAcentral.